CCUACGGGUGGCAGCAGUCGAGAAUCAUUCACAAUGGGGGAAACCCUGAUGGGGCGACGCCGCGUGGGGGAAUGAAGGUCUGCGGAUUGUAAACCCCGGUCAUGUGGGAGCAAAUUAAAAAGAUAGUACCACAAGAGGAAGAGACGGCUAACGCUGCGCAAGCAGCCGCGGUAAUACAGAGGUCUCAAGCGUUGUUCGGAAUCAUUGGGCGGAACGCGUGCGUAUGAUGUUUCGUAAGUCGUGUGUGAAAGGCGCGGGCUCAACCCGCGGACGGCACAUGAUACUGCGAGCCUAGGGUACUGGAGCGGGAACCGGAAUUCUCGGUGUCGCCGU
RNAcentral lists this ribosomal RNA (333 nucleotides) under uncultured bacterium. RNAcentral describes it as "partial 16S ribosomal RNA". It matches the Rfam family "Bacterial small subunit ribosomal RNA", at positions 338 to 682 of the family's 1533-position model. The record is from RNAcentral.